CCCAGUGGUUUUGCAUUUCUAUCAUAAGUACUAUUUAAGAUAAGCAUUUGAAUAGCAUAUUAGCAACACUUUUCUUGACAGAUAAUGUUGAGGUUCCUAUUGCACUCAGUAGUGGCACUCAAGCUUUACAGUUUUCAGAGGUUCUGUAGGAUUCCAUAUAAAUCCAUACAAGCUACUUUUUUUUCCUAUUUCUCAACAGAACAUGUACUUAAUCAACAGCAAUCCAGUCUUCUGUAUCAACCAUCUUCACUUCCUAUGGGAAUGGUGUUUUUCUAUCUCAUCUUUCAGCAUCCAGCCCACAUGAAUACAUGGCCCUGUAUAUAACUGAGCAAGCCGAAGAAAGCAUUUGAUACAUGUUCCCAUCAAAGCUGUGUGCUUUAUGUGUGCUGCCUCAAGCCUGCAGUACCAGCACUGGACACCACACCUUUUGGAAGUACAAAUACAGUGCAGGCAGCUGUUGUAGAAGCUUCCCUGUG
This 476-nucleotide long non-coding RNA is filed under the name Gallus gallus (chicken). RNAcentral describes it as "long non-coding RNA NONGGAT011854". The record is from RNAcentral. Lineage: Eukaryota; Metazoa; Chordata; Aves; Galliformes; Phasianidae.